AACCAACAGGGAUUGCCUUAGUAGCGGCGAGUGAAGCGGCAAAAGCUCAAAUUUGAAAUCUGGCACCUUCGGUGUCCGAGUUGUAAUUUGAAGAUUGUAACCUUGGGGUUGGCUCUUGUCUAUGUUUCUUGGAACAGGACGUCACAGAGGGUGAGAAUCCCGUGCGAUGAGAUGCCCAAUCCUAUGUAAGGUGCUUUCGAAGAGUCGAGUUGUUUGGGAAUGCAGCUCUAAGUGGGUGGUAAAUUCCAUCUAAAGCUAAAUAUUGGCGAGAGACCGAUAGCGAACAAGUACAGUGAUGGAAAGAUGAAAAGAACUUUGAAAAGAGAGUGAAAAAGUACGUGAAAUUGUUGAAAGGGAAGGGUUUGAGAUCAGACUCGAUAUUUUGUGAGCCUUGCCUUCGUGGCGGGGUGACCCGCAGCUUAUCGGGCCAGCAUCGGUUUGGGCGGUAGGAUAAUGGCGUAGGAAUGUGACUUUGCUUCGGUGAAGUGUUAUAGCCUGCGUUGAUGCUGCCUGCCUAGACCGAGGACUGCGAUUUUUCAAGGA
Molecule: ribosomal RNA, 543 nt
Filed under: Meyerozyma caribbica
Lineage: Eukaryota; Fungi; Ascomycota; Pichiomycetes; Serinales; Debaryomycetaceae
Description: LSU rRNA
Rfam family: Eukaryotic large subunit ribosomal RNA
Source: RNAcentral